Molecule: long non-coding RNA, 400 nt
Filed under: Cavia porcellus (domestic guinea pig)
Lineage: Eukaryota; Metazoa; Chordata; Mammalia; Rodentia; Caviidae
Description: lncRNA (ENSCPOG00000032221.1)
Source: RNAcentral
CUCAGCUCAGAGACAGCAGAGGAGCAGAAGCUGAGGUAACCAUUCCAGCAGCAUCUCUAAAGCCCUGUUUUCAAGUAACUGGCUUGGCCUACAAGUGCCUGGGAUUUUGACUUUUAGUAAAAACCACCCCAACCCUGUGAAAUGGCAUGGAGAAGAAAGAACAGUGACUGCAAGUUUUAUGAACAUCUUUUCCUUUGGGAUCUAUACUACAAAGCAACAUGAUUCAACUCAUAUUCUUGACCUUGAGCAACUCCUCCCUGGGCCAGAAGAUUUGGAGAGUUUAUUGCCUAUCACUGUGACUUGAAGUACUUAGAAGAGUUAAGCAUCAAGACCUCCUUAGAAGCCAGCAUAAAGGCUCAGAUUUCCUUUACAAAUCAUUCCUUAGUCUUUAAAAGACCCA